RNAcentral lists this ribosomal RNA (434 nucleotides) under uncultured Lachnospiraceae bacterium. RNAcentral's name for it is "partial 16S ribosomal RNA". It matches the Rfam family "Bacterial small subunit ribosomal RNA", at positions 341 to 792 of the family's 1533-position model. Lineage: Bacteria; Bacillati; Bacillota; Clostridia; Lachnospirales; Lachnospiraceae. The record is from RNAcentral.
ACGGGAGGCAGCAGUGGGGAAUAUUGCACGAUGGGGGAAACCCUGAUGCAGCGACGCCGCGUGAGCGAUGAAGUAUUUCGGUAUGUAAAGCUCUAUCAGCAGGGAAGAUAAUGACGGUACCUGACUAAGAAGCCCCGGCUAACUACGUGCCAGCAGCCGCGGUAAUACGUAGGGGGCAAGCGUUAUCCGGAUUUACUGGGUGUAAAGGGAGCGCAGGCGGUUUUUUAAGUCUGAUGUGAGAGCCCGCGGCUCAACUGCGGGACUGCAUUGGAAACUGGAGAACUAGAGUGUCGGAGGGGCAAGUGGAAUUCCUAGUGUAGCGGUGAAAUGCGUAGAUAUUAGGAGGAACACCAGUGGCGAAGGCGGCUUACUGGACGGUAACUGACGUUGAGGCUCGAAAGCGUGGGGAGCAAACAGGAUUAGAUACCCUGGUA